ACGGAAGGCAGCAGUGGGGAAUAUUGGACAAUGGUCGGAAGACUGAUCUAGCCAUGCCGCGUGAAGGAAGAAUGUCCUAUGGAUUGUAAACUUCUUUUGUACGGGAGCAAUAAGGUGUAUGCAUACACCGAUGAGAGUACCGUACGAAUAAGCAUCGGCUAACUCCGUGCCAGCAGCCGCGGUAAUACGGAGGAUGCGAGCGUUAUCCGGAUUUAUUGGGUUUAAAGGGUGCGUAGGCGGAAUGCCAAGUCAGGGGUGAAACGCACGCGCUUAACGCGUGACCUGCCGUUGAAACUGGUAAUCUGGAAUACGGAUGCUGUGGGAGGAAUGUGUGGUGUAGCGGUGAAAUGCAUAGAUAUCACACAGAACACCGAUUGCGAAGGCAUCUCACAAAUCCGUCAUUGACGCUGAGGCACGAAAGUGUGGGGAUCAAACAGGAUUAGAUACCCUGGUA
Molecule: ribosomal RNA, 454 nt
Filed under: uncultured bacterium
Lineage: Bacteria
Description: partial 16S ribosomal RNA
Rfam family: Bacterial small subunit ribosomal RNA
Source: RNAcentral